ACGCUAGCGGCAGGCCCUAUACAUGCAAGUCGAGGGGCAGCAUUUACUUCGGUAAAUGGCGACCGGCGCACGGGUGAGUAACGCGUAUGCAACCUACCUUUAACUGGGGCAUAGCUCGAGGAAACUCGAAUUAAUUCCCCAUAGUACAUUAUAAUAUCUCAUGAUAUAAAUGUUAAAGAUUUAUCGGUUAAAGAUGGGCAUGCGUCUGAUUAGUUUGUUGGUAAGGUAACGGCUUACCAAGACUACGAUCAGUAGGGGGUCU
This 262-nucleotide ribosomal RNA is filed under the name uncultured Bacteroidota bacterium. RNAcentral's name for it is "uncultured Bacteroidetes bacterium partial 16S ribosomal RNA". It matches the Rfam family "Bacterial small subunit ribosomal RNA", at positions 33 to 293 of the family's 1533-position model. Lineage: Bacteria; Pseudomonadati; Bacteroidota. The record is from RNAcentral.